AAUAAAAUGCCUGAAAAAGGACUAUUUUGAUAAAAUAGAUCAUGUAAAUCUUUACUUUUAUUA
This 63-nucleotide transfer RNA is filed under the name Undinula vulgaris. RNAcentral's name for it is "tRNA-Ile". Lineage: Eukaryota; Metazoa; Arthropoda; Copepoda; Calanoida; Calanidae. The record is from RNAcentral.